RNAcentral lists this ribosomal RNA (464 nucleotides) under Vreelandella stevensii. RNAcentral's name for it is "partial 16S ribosomal RNA". It matches the Rfam family "Bacterial small subunit ribosomal RNA", at positions 338 to 794 of the family's 1533-position model. Lineage: Bacteria; Pseudomonadati; Pseudomonadota; Gammaproteobacteria; Oceanospirillales; Halomonadaceae. The record is from RNAcentral.
UCUACGGGAGGCUGCAGUGGGGAAUAUUGGACAAUGGGCGAAAGCCUGAUCCAGCCAUGCCGCGUGUGUGAAGAAGGCCUUCGGGUUGUAAAGCACUUUCAGUGGGGAAGAAAGCCUUGGGGCUAAUACCCUCGAGGAAGGACAUCACCCACAGAAGAAGCACCGGCUAACUCCGUGCCAGCAGCCGCGGUAAUACGGAGGGUGCGAGCGUUAAUCGGAAUUACUGGGCGUAAAGCGCGCGUAGGCGGUCUGAUAAGCCGGUUGUGAAAGCCCCGGGCUCAACCUGGGAACGGCAUCCGGAACUGUCAGGCUAGAGUGCAGGAGAGGAAGGUAGAAUUCCCGGUGUAGCGGUGAAAUGCGUAGAGAUCGGGAGGAAUACCAGUGGCGAAGGCGGCCUUCUGGACUGACACUGACGCUGAGGUGCGAAAGCGUGGGUAGCAAACAGGAUUAGAUACCCUGGUAUC